Molecule: ribosomal RNA, 253 nt
Filed under: uncultured bacterium
Lineage: Bacteria
Description: partial 16S ribosomal RNA
Rfam family: Bacterial small subunit ribosomal RNA
Source: RNAcentral
UACGUAGGGUGCGAGCGUUGUCCGGAAUUAUUGGGCGUAAAGGGCCCGUAGGCGGUCUGUCGCGUCGGGAGUGAAAACUCAGGGCUUAACCCUGAGCCUGCUUCCGAUACGGGCAGACUAGAGGUAUGCAGGGGAGAACGGAAUUCCUGGUGUAGCGGUGAAAUGCGCAGAUAUCAGGAGGAACACCAGUGGCGAAGGCGGUUCUCUGGGCAUUACCUGACGCUGAGGAGCGAAAGUGUGGGGAGCGAACAGG